GAUGAACGCUGGCGGCGUGCCUAAUACAUGCGAGUCGAGCGAACAGACGAGGAGCUUGCUCCUCUGACGUUAGCGGCGGACGGGUGAGUAACACGUGGAUAACCUACCUAUAAGACUGGGAUAACUUCGGGAAACCGGAGCUAAUACCGGAUAAUAUAUUGAACCGCAUGGUUCAAUAGUGAAAGACGGUUUUGCUGUCACUUAUAGAUGGAUCCGCGCCGCAUUAGCUAGUUGGUAAGGUAACGGCUUACCAAGGCAACGAUGCGUAGCCGACCUGAGGGGGUGAUCGGCCACACUGGAACUGAGACACGGUCCAGACUCCUACGGGAGGCAGCAGUAGGGAAUCUUCCGCAAUGGGCGAAAGCCUGACGGAGCAACGCCGCGUGAGUGAUGAAGGUCUUCGGAUCGUAAAACUCUGUUAUUAGGGAAGAACAAAUGUGUAAGUAACUAUGCACGUCUUGACGGUACCUAAUCAGAAAGCCACGGCUAACUACGUG
Molecule: ribosomal RNA, 497 nt
Filed under: uncultured bacterium
Lineage: Bacteria
Description: partial 16S ribosomal RNA
Rfam family: Bacterial small subunit ribosomal RNA
Source: RNAcentral